GAAUCCCCUCUCCUGCUUAAGUCCUUCCCACAGAGAGCGGUUUGAUAUGUCACUGAAACCAGCAUCCAGGUGGUAUUGCUCCAUAUGCCUGAGACCCUAACAAAAGCCUAAUUACAACUCAUAUGCCUGGAGCCAGGACAUGUGCAGGAUGACUUGUUCCAGCCCAUAGAAGGGACUGUGAUAUCUACCUAGGCCAACCUCCAGGUGAUGUAACUUUCCUCUCUGGAAUGGGUCCUGCACAAAGGAAUGAUAGUAACAUAUUGCAAAGCCAGACACACAGCCAUGAUGGUCCAAGUUAUAUUGGGAUUCAGCCAAUAGAAGAUAUUUUGCCUGUCAUCCCUAAGCUUAGGACAAUAGGGUCCUGCCCACAAGAAAGAUUGUGACAUCUCACUGGACAAGCACCCACCCAGACUCUGCCAAGAGAGGGGAUUAUUACAUAUUGCAGAGCCCAGCACCUAGGUGGAGUGACUCUCAUCUUUUUCUUCUACCCCGUAUAUAGCCAGCUUGGUGACCUACUAUUUGAGUCUAUACCCAGGCCCAGACCACAGAUGAAAUUGUGCAAUAUGUGGAACAAACACCUAAACAAUAUAUAACACCUUCCUUGGCUCUGUCUACAAAGGGCACUUUUAUAUAUCACUGGGACCAUCAACCAGGUGAUGUUAAUUAUCUUCCUGAAACCUGUCUACAAAGAGAGUUGUGUCGUAUACCUAGGCCCGUCAUGUAAGUGAUGUCAGUCCCUUCUACUGCCUUGGCCCUGCACUUACAGUGCAUUGUGACACAUAACAAGGUACUGCACACAGACGAUGUGAUUCUCCUUUUUGGGUUCUGCCAAAAGGAAGCAUUGUAAUAAAUCGCUUGGCUCAGUA
Long non-coding RNA from Homo sapiens (human), 866 nucleotides. Ensembl annotates it as long intergenic non-protein coding RNA 293. Lineage: Eukaryota; Metazoa; Chordata; Mammalia; Primates; Hominidae. The record is from Ensembl.